Molecule: long non-coding RNA, 258 nt
Filed under: Vitis vinifera (wine grape)
Lineage: Eukaryota; Viridiplantae; Streptophyta; Magnoliopsida; Vitales; Vitaceae
Description: long non-coding RNA (VVIN_LNC001168)
Source: RNAcentral
UCAAAUCUUCCUUCUGGUUGCGACGCGUGGCAAAAUGAUGCCGAUCUCACCUUAUAUGGUGCCGAUCCGUUCACCAGUUGUCCGAGUCGACUCAGCAUAGCCUCUUCACCAACGUCAGAUCUCAACCGAGUCAUUUUCUCCGACGCCCAGAAGUGUACCAAUCCCCCUCUUCAGCCACAGGUCCCGUCUUGGUCUCCAUCGCCGUCGCCAACGCCGACUCCACCCCCACCGCCACCACCUCCUCCAGCAGUUGUAAAA